Molecule: ribosomal RNA, 604 nt
Filed under: uncultured bacterium
Lineage: Bacteria
Description: bacterial SSU rRNA
Rfam family: Bacterial small subunit ribosomal RNA
Source: RNAcentral
CAAAGGCUUCGGCCGGUAAAGGAUGGGGAUGCGCCUGAUUAGCUUGCCGGCGGGGUAACGGCCCACCGGGGCGACGAUCAGUAGGGGUUCUGAGAGGAAGGUCCCCCACAUUGGAACUGAGACACGGUCCAAACUCCUACGGGAGGCAGCAGUGAGGAAUAUUGGUCAAUGGGCGCGAGCCUGAACCAGCCAAGUAGCGUGCAGGACGACGGCCCUAUGGGUUGUAAACUGCUUUUAUACGGGGAUAAAGUAUGCCACGUGUGGUUUAUUGCAGGUACCGUAUGAAUAAGGACCGGCUAAUUCCGUGCCAGCAGCCGCGGUAAUACGGAAGGUCCGGGCGUUAUCCGGAUUUAUUGGGUUUAAAGGGAGCGUAGGCCGGGUUUUAAGCGUGCCGUGAAAUGUCGGGGCUCAACCUUGACACUGCGGCGCGAACUGGAGUCCUUGAGUGCGCGGAACGUAUGCGGAAUUCGUGGUGUAGCGGUGAAAUGCUUAGAUAUCACGAAGAACCCCGAUUGCGAAGGCAGCAUACGGCAGCGCUACUGACGCUGAAGCUCGAAGGCGCGGGUAUCGAACAGGAUUAGAUACCCUGGUAGUCCGCGCGGUA